Oreochromis aureus is the source of this 1075-nucleotide long non-coding RNA. The record is from Ensembl. Lineage: Eukaryota; Metazoa; Chordata; Actinopteri; Cichliformes; Cichlidae.
ACAGGAACUAAUGAACUAGGUUCACAUGGUAGGACACAUGGACCGCAGAACACACAGCAAGAGGCACACUGUCUAGAGGAAGAACAGAACAAAAAACAAAAUGAGACUCAGGCCAUAUAUGAACAUACAGGACGAUGAGGGAACAGGCAAGAGGUGGGAGUACAGCUGACACUUAUCCCAGGCUAAUGAAAUAAGAGAAACAAAACAGAACACAAAGCACAAGGGACGGCAGACUAUCAAAGUAAAACAGGAAAUGACUAACACUGAUACCUAGACUACGACAUAUGAGCUUGACACAAAGACAGAAAGGUAAACAAAUACAGAAAAGGCAGAACCAGCAGAUACACAAGGGAAGCAGGAAAACACAGCAAUACAUAAACCAGACUGAAAUGCUACCAAAAGAACUGAUGAAACAAGAUCACAAAACACUAAGAAAAACCUUAGGUAAACAAAUACAGAAAAGUCAGAACCAGCAGAUACACAAGGGAAGUAGGAAAACACAGCAAUACAUAAACCAGACUGAAAUGCUACCAAAAGAACUGAUGAAACAAGAUCACAAAACACUAAGAAAAACCUUAGGUAAACCCCUCACAACAUAGAAAUGAAACCAAUGCAGAAUAAUGUAACAAAGAUUUUCAAAAGUGCAAAGCUAAAGAGAACUUAAAAACCUGGUGACCAUGGUACCUUUUACAUUAUUCAGUUAUGAUUGACUACAUUAUUCAAUCGUCUUUUAGUCACAACUGUUAUUGAGUUGUGUGACUAUGUCUGUAAAUCAUCUAAUACACACUAUAAAUAUUAACAUGUCCUACAAAUAUAUUGUUACAGUGUAGCAAUAACAAAAGAAAAGUACACUGUAAGUGCUGUUAAUUUCAACCACUUGCAAAUAGUUUGAGAGUGCUCAAAUUCAGAUUAGUACAAACAGUAGUUUCUGGUGGGUUGAUUAUUUCUAUUUGCAGUUAUGUAAAAAUUUGAUUUUAGGCCACCAUAAGCUUGACAAAAAAUGUGUCAAAUUAAAAGACUACUCUACUUACAAUUACAACAUUUGUUAUAUUAGUUUCCACAGAAUACAAAUGCA